UCACGUGCUCAGCUGAUGAACUGCCACGUUAGUGCAGGCACACGCCACAAAGUGUUGCUCAGGCGGCUCCUUGCUGCCUUUUUUGACCGAAGCACCCUUGCAAACAGCUGUGGGACAGGCAUUCGGUCCUCCACAAAUGACCCCAACCGCAAGCCACUCGACAGUCGGGUUCUCCAUGCUGUUAAAUUUUACUGCCAGAACUUUGCUCCUAGUUUCAAAGAGAGU
Sinocyclocheilus anshuiensis is the source of this 225-nucleotide long non-coding RNA. RefSeq lists it as uncharacterized. The record is from RefSeq and is a predicted model, not a curated record. The transcript has 3 exons. NCBI's taxonomy places the organism in Eukaryota, Metazoa, Chordata, Actinopteri, Cypriniformes, Cyprinidae.